CCGAGAUGAAGUGACUCACCAGGGGUCGCCUAGCUAAGCAGUGGAGAGUGGGCCUCCCACCCAGGCCUUCUCACUCUGACUCCUGUUCUCCACGUCAUUGCAUAUGGCGACAUGCGGGUCACGUGAUCACACAUCCCUAGCCGAUAUGGAAUUAGGCCUGAAGAGGCAGAACACCCCAGAGGAGCCUGGGGCCACCACCCAGCAUCACUGUGGGAAAACGGCAGCAGGAAAUGUCCUCUCGCCUGCGUGCUCCACCUCGGUCCACGCCUUCCCUCCUUCUGGAAGCCUUGCCUGACCACUGGCCUGCCCCUUCUAUGGGAAUCACUACUGACCUUGCAGCUUAUUAUAGACUUAUAUGUUUUUUGCAUGUCUGACACCCAUGACUCCACCUGGACCUUAUGGCUCCACCCAGAAGCAAUUCAGCCCAACAGGAGGACAGCUUCAACCCAUUACGAUUUCAUCUCUGCCCCAACCACUCAGCAGCAAGCACCUGUUACCUGUCCACCCCCACCCCUUCCCCCAAACUGCCUUUGAAAAAUCCCUAACCUAUGAGCUUUGAAUAAGAUGAGUACGAACUUCAUCGCCCACGUGGCGUGGCCGGCCUCGUGUCUAUUAAAUUC
RNAcentral lists this long non-coding RNA (620 nucleotides) under Homo sapiens (human). RNAcentral describes it as "non-protein coding PVT1:46". The record is from RNAcentral. Lineage: Eukaryota; Metazoa; Chordata; Mammalia; Primates; Hominidae.